GAUGAAGAACGCAUCGAAACGCGAUAAGUAAUGUGAAUUGCAGAAUCCAGUGAAUCAUCGAAUCUUUGAACGCACAUUGCGCCCGCCAGCAUUCUGGCGGGCAUGCCUGUUCGAGCGUCAUUUCAACCCUCGACCUCCCCUUGGGGAGGUCGGCGUUGGGGACCGGCAGCACACCGCCGGCCCUGAAAUGGAGUGGCGGCCCGUCCGCGGCGACCUCUGCGCAGUAAUACAGCUCGCACCGGGACCCCGACGCGGCCACGCCGUAAAACACCCAACUUCUGAACGUUGACCUCGAAUCAGGUAGGACUACCCGCUGAACUUAAGCAUAUCAAUAAGCGGAGGA
RNAcentral lists this unclassified non-coding RNA (343 nucleotides) under soil metagenome. Its description in RNAcentral is "partial contains 5.8S ribosomal RNA, internal transcribed spacer 2, and large subunit ribosomal RNA". The stretch from base 1 to 120 matches the Rfam family "5.8S ribosomal RNA", at positions 35 to 154 of the family's 154-position model. The record is from RNAcentral.